UAGAGGUGUGGGAUGAGCCCGCGGCCUAUCAGCUUGUUGGUGGGGUGACGGCCUACCAAGGCGACGACGGGUAGCCGGCCUGAGAGGGUGUCCGGCCACACUGGGACUGAGAUACGGCCCAGACUCCUACGGGAGGCAGCAGUGGGGAAUAUUGCACAAUGGGCGCAAGCCUGAUGCAGCGACGCCGCGUGGGGGAUGACGGCCUUCGGGUUGUAAACCUCUUUCACCAUCGACGAAGGUCCGGGUUCUCUCGGAUUGACGGUAGGUGGAGAAGAAGCACCGGCCAACUACGUGCCAGCAGCCGCGGUAAUACGUAGGGUGCGAGCGUUGUCCGGAAUUACUGGGCGUAAAGAGCUCGUAGGUGGUUUGUCGCGUUGUUCGUGAAAUCUCACGGCUUAACUGUGAGCGUGCGGGCGAUACGGGC
RNAcentral lists this ribosomal RNA (424 nucleotides) under Mycobacterium tuberculosis. Its description in RNAcentral is "bacterial SSU rRNA". It matches the Rfam family "Bacterial small subunit ribosomal RNA", at positions 213 to 637 of the family's 1533-position model. Lineage: Bacteria; Bacillati; Actinomycetota; Actinomycetes; Mycobacteriales; Mycobacteriaceae. The record is from RNAcentral.